Thamnophis elegans (Western terrestrial garter snake) is the source of this 283-nucleotide long non-coding RNA. RefSeq lists it as uncharacterized. NCBI's taxonomy places the organism in Eukaryota, Metazoa, Chordata, Lepidosauria, Squamata, Natricidae. The transcript is spliced from 2 exons. The record is from RefSeq and is a predicted model, not a curated record.
GCUUCUCUGUCCCCGGAGCGACUGUUGCGCCAGAACGGAGCAAGCUUCUCUGAUGGAAGAAGUGAUAAGUCUUCAAGGCAAAAGGAAGAAUUGAUUGCACUUGUUAAAACCUCUGCUGCCUUUCUUUGAAACAAGCAUGAUUGGAUUUAGUGCAAAUUUCGGUCGUGGCCAGAAGGAAUGCUGGAAUUACUGGAUAUAUCAUGACAACUAUGUAUAUACAAUGAACAUUCAAAUAAAUGCCUGCUCCAGGAAACAGACUUUCAGGACAGUGGGAUUCUCCCAU